This is a long non-coding RNA of Daphnia magna, 2316 nucleotides long. RefSeq lists it as uncharacterized. Lineage: Eukaryota; Metazoa; Arthropoda; Branchiopoda; Diplostraca; Daphniidae. The transcript is spliced from 2 exons. The record is from RefSeq and is a predicted model, not a curated record.
CCCCCGACAUGUGUUGCAUUCGUUGUCCCUACCCGACACAGCAGUAGCAAUAGUAACGGCAUUGACGACAUUACUACACACGAAACAUACGGAAAACAACACAGGGAAAUAUAAAAAUGGAAACAUUCUUAUGGCCAAGUAUUCUACUUUAUCAUGUGGGUUUCUCAAAACUAAGUAAAUGGGGAUAAUAAAAAGAGUAAAUAAAAACGUAAGAGGUAAAAAUUUGGGGAAAAAAGUGAAAAUAUUCUAAUAGAUUUAAAAAAAAGGUAAAAGACAUUCCGUCGGCUAUACUUUAACGGUGACACAGCAACAGGGAUAGGGGAAAUAGGGCCUUUCAAUUUAACAGAUUUUUCUACUGGAAGGGAGGCCUAUUUUGGGGCAAAAUUGGUAUCAUUAGAAAGAAGAGAAAAAGAUCUUAAUUAUGGAAUAGAAAGACUUACGAAAAUUUUACUCAUAUAGAAGCGCGGAUAAGAAAUAAGACAUUGAAAAAAUUUAACGGUAAAUGAGCGGCACUGUCAAGGUCACGCGCAAGUCCAAUACACGGGGGAAGUGCGAAUGGGGGAAAAACGGAGGGGAAUAAAAAGAAGAUAAGACGGAAUAGAUUGCCGACGGCGAAAAAGGGACUUAGAAUAUUUUCAACGUUGGAACAUUGGGAAAAGCUAUAGCAAGGAAAGGAAAAUAAAAUAUAUAUUUUUCGCGUUGGGUGUGGCAGCUAGCGGUGGCGCUGCUGUACGCGUAGUAUAAAUGGAACAAUGAUGCAUUUGCUUCAAGAACAGAAAAAUUUUUAGUUAGGAAACGAAUCAAGUGAAACAAUGUGUCGAAGGAAGCAUCGCAUAACAACAAGUGCAUAGGCGAAGACAGGUCGCCAUUUUGAUGAGUGUCGUUUUCUUUGUUUGUAAAGUGAAAGAUAAGCGAAAAAGAAGAAAGGAAAUGAAGUGAAAGAAGAAUAUAGGAGGCGGAAUAGAAGAAGAGUUCGGGACUAAAGGAUUGCUACGGUAAUGCUAACAUAAUUUCCCUAUUAUUUUAUGCGUAUUAGUACUUUUACUCGCAGUUUAAAACUCGACCGCUAGAUGACGUUGUUUUAGUUUACUUUUGACCGCUAGAUGGCAUGAGAAUGUCAAUUCUGGAAAUAAAUAAGUCUAACUUAGAAAAUAAGAACUUAUUGAUUAAAAAUGACAAAUAACUUGAUGAACUUAGUCAAGUAAGGUUUUAAUUUAUCCAACAGGGAGGUUUUUAUUUUACGAUAAGUAAAAAGUUAGUUUGUCAGAGAUGGAAUGACUUGCUUGGAUAUACACAUAGAUUGUACCCCACGCAAAGAUAGUACUCAGGUUCAAAUCCCGGGGGAAGCUUGUAAAAGGGAACAAAUGUGCGUCGGCACCAGUAUACGGAAGGCGGGUCACAUCGUGGCCUCUCCACCCCCUUCUUGUAUAUUGAGGUCUCGCGCUCCUCUCAGUAUUCAAUUCGUUGGCCGUAUAGCUCUUGUGGUGGAGAGAGUUGGUCUUCAGAAGUAACUACUGACGAUGGAGAUUUGUUCCUUUCAGCUAGGGGAGAGUCUGGCGCUGGACUCAAUCCGUGUACGAACGGCUUUUGCAUUUUUUCAAAAUUUUCAAGUAAUUUUUCCGCAAUGUAAUUAUAUAUUUAAUUCCAAUUCUAAUCGAAUUUUAAAAAAUUAUCAUAUUAUCAUUUAUCUUAUUCCUUAGAAACAUAUAUAAUUAUAUGUUUUUAAAGAACCUAACCUGUUUUUGAGACUAUUUGAACUAAUGAUUUGACUUAUACUGAUUGUUUGAAUUAUAUCUUUUUUUGUCUAUAUUAUAUAUAUUUUUUUCUUUCUAUUCCGAUUCUUCCUAUCCCAUAUGUUUUUUCUUUCUUUUUUGUUUAAUUACUUAAUCUAUUUGGAGACUAUUCUUAUUGUUACUUCUGCCGUUUUAUUUAUUAAAAACACUACUGAGGCUACAAUUUUGGAGAAUGCGAAUAAGCAAGGAGAAGAAGAAGGAUAGAAAAGUGAUAGACGAAUAACAGAAUAAAGAAGAAUUUCAAGAGACUAGAAAGAGAGAAAUAGAGGAAAGAAAUUUUCCUACGAACGAUAAAAAAAAAAAAAAUGAUAUGUCGAACCCCCUUGUAUCAUAUCUUUUUAAUCAAAAAUUAUGUUAUAAAAAAAAAGUAUUUGCGCUACAGUUCGGGAUGACUCAAUGUUGGAUUUUCUUCAAAUACGUAAUUGACGUGUUCCAUUCCUUUUAGACAAAGCUGUCCGGUUGGGAUUGCAAUUGGUAAUUACAACCAAUAAUUACAACCAAAAUAAAUGUUAUAUUACAGAAA